This 603-nucleotide ribosomal RNA is filed under the name uncultured fungus. Its description in RNAcentral is "eukaryotic LSU rRNA". It matches the Rfam family "Eukaryotic large subunit ribosomal RNA", at positions 23 to 641 of the family's 3401-position model. The record is from RNAcentral. Lineage: Eukaryota; Fungi.
ACCCGCUGAACUUAAGCAUAUCAAUAAGCGGAGGAAAAGAAACCAACAGGGAUUGCCCUAGUAACGGCGAGUGAAGCGGCAACAGCUCAAAUUUGAAAUCUGGCGUCUUUGGCGUCCGAGUUGUAAUUUGCAGAGGGCGCUUUGGCAUUGGCAGCGGUCCAAGUUCCUUGGAACAGGACGUCACAGAGGGUGAGAAUCCCGUACGUGGUCGCUAGCCUUUACCGUGUAAAGCCCCUUCGACGAGUCGAGUUGUUUGGGAAUGCAGCUCUAAAUGGGAGGUAAAUUUCUUCUAAAGCUAAAUACUGGCCAGAGACCGAUAGCGCACAAGUAGAGUGAUCGAAAGAUGAAAAGCACUUUGGAAAGAGAGUUAAAAAGCACGUGAAAUUGUUGAAAGGGAAGCGCUUGCAGCCAGACUUGCCUGUAGUUGCCCAUCCGGGUUUUUACCCGGUGCACUCUUCUAUAGGCAGGCCAGCAUCAGUUUGGGCGGUUGGAUAAAGGUCUCUGUCAUGUACCUCUCUUCGGGGAGAACUUAUAGGGGAGACGACAUGCAACCAGCCCGGACUGAGGUCCGCGCAUCUGCUAGGAUGCUGGCGUAAUGGCUGU